Halichondria panicea is the source of this 1852-nucleotide RNA transcript. RefSeq lists it as uncharacterized. The record is from RefSeq and is a predicted model, not a curated record. NCBI's taxonomy places the organism in Eukaryota, Metazoa, Porifera, Demospongiae, Suberitida, Halichondriidae. The transcript has 10 exons.
CUAGAUAUUGAAACUCAUUCUCACAAUUCUCAGUAAUUAUAUCUGAUUUAUAGCUUGGCACACCUAUGCUUUGAUGGAUGAUUACACUAGUUUGAUAUUCCUUUUGCUUGCGGGGACAACAUUCACCAUAGCUGUAAAAGCCCAGAACUUUUCAAUUGAGCCCGAGUCAGUGGUACAAGCCGAGGGAUUGUUGGCAGAGUUUGAGUGCCUGUCUCCUGGAGGAAUAUCUCAUCCUUGGUUUGUGAAUGGCACAGCGUCUACUAGCCCUAACUUUUCAUCUGAAAUCAGAGUAGCUGGAGGCACUUCAGGUCAUCCCUCAGUGCUGACCAUCCCAGCUAGCUCACAGUUCAACAACAGUGUCAUUCAGUGUGCAGCCGUUUCAGUGACUGGUGGAAUCUUAUCAAGGAAUGCAACAUUGAUAGUUGAGCGUGUAUCUAUUGAAGUGGUUAAUGGUAAAACCAACCUUGCCAUCUCUGUGAUCAAUAACUUCACUCUGAAUAAGCUUACCUUCCGUGUUGACAUCUCUCUCACUACUCUGGGCACUAAUGAGAUGGUUACACUUCCUCCUCUAAAUGGUGUACAAAAUCAAGUGCAGUUUAAUUACAGACAAACUGAUAACCACACUGUCUGUGAUAUAUUCACCUUCACUGUGACUCCAAUUAGUGAGUCAGGAAUGGAAGGAAGAUCCAGUGAACCUGUCACUGGGUUCUUUACACGAGUAACAGAUAAUAACAAUGUCGCUCCCCUCAUCAGUCAGGGAGGAAAUGUGUUGAGGAAAAUAGUACAUCUCGGUGGUAUGGUACCCAACUGUACCAACUUCACCUCCUACCAAGUGAACACUGACGUAUUGGCACCCAUCAAUAAGACCAUCAGAGACCCCCAAAUGAUAAAUUUCUCUCUUCCAACUGACCAGAUAAUCAACAUUUCCGUGACACUUACUUCGAUCACGGGGGUGCACCUCAUAUUCAAGGACAUGCUAAUCAGAACAACUGAUGUUCAAAAUUUGAUUGUGGACGUUUGCCCUGAAGGAAACUGUGCAAGAAUUGAGUAUGUUGAAGGUACCCUCUCUCCCGGAGCUCUUGUCUGUGUGAUACGUUUCACUGCUGGAGAGUUGGAUUUUCUAAGCAUGAGACUAGUGCCAAUUCGACGGAGUAUGAGUGAAAAUUUUACCAUCCCGGUGGCUGUUAGUGGAAAUUACAGUGUGAUUGCAUUUGAUCUUGAGAACAACAAUAUGAGUGUACCAAGAAUGCCCAUAUCUGUGGCGGCCGACAAUGAAACUAUGUUUUUGAGCAAUAAAUCUUCCACUGAACCAAAUUCUCCACCUAAUUCUGAGGGCAUUACUGUCGCUAAACUAUCAAAUGGAAGUGCUGAAGUAACCUGCACUACCUCUGGUCAGAGUUGUCUGGCAUUGUUUCUGUCUAAAACCUCUCCAACCUCUCUUGAUCCGAUGGUGAUGAUUGGUUUUAUUGAACCACCUAAUGACAGAACUGUUGUCACUCUUAAUGCUACUUCCGAUAUUUAUGUGGUAGUUUACACUUGGAAUAGUGAUUCUGGCGAGACCAUCUUUGAUGGGAAGGUAUCCUUCAUUAGUCAAUUGGAGAGUAAGCCAAGAGUUAGUCUUAGUUUCAGAAUUGUAUGCGUUCUAUUCUUCCUCUUGCAGGUCCUCCUCCUACACAAUCUCCAGCUCCAUCACCCAUAGUACUAAUAGCAGGUAUCACCAUUGUGGCCAUGGUACUUGUAGUCAUCGUAACUAUCGUUGUAGCUGUGGUUAUUGUGAAGAGAAAACAAAGCUCUUAUACAUUUGAGGUUCCAGAGUCAGAUGGAAGAGUGGAUUGGUCGUCAACAUUUGCAG